RNAcentral lists this non-coding RNA (152 nucleotides) under Roseovarius pacificus. RNAcentral's name for it is "FMN sequence". It matches the Rfam family "FMN riboswitch aptamer (RFN element)". Rfam says of the family: The RFN element is a highly conserved domain that is found frequently in the 5'-untranslated regions of prokaryotic mRNAs that encode for flavin mononucleotide (FMN) biosynthesis and transport proteins. This element is a metabolite-dependent riboswitch that directly binds FMN in the absence of proteins. The record is from Rfam by way of RNAcentral. Lineage: Bacteria; Pseudomonadati; Pseudomonadota; Alphaproteobacteria; Rhodobacterales; Roseobacteraceae.
CACUGUUCUCAGGGCGGGGCGGAAUUCCCCACCGGCGGUAUGGGGCCAAUCGCGCCCCGAGCCCGCGAGCGCUCCGGCCCCAUGGCCGGGGGUCAGCAGAUCUGGUGAGACUCCAGGGCCGACGGUCAUAGUCCGGAUGGAAGAGAACGCCG